This 71-nucleotide transfer RNA is filed under the name Anaerolineaceae bacterium oral taxon 439. RNAcentral describes it as "tRNA-Cys". It matches the Rfam family "tRNA". From Rfam's summary of the family: Transfer RNA (tRNA) molecules are approximately 80 nucleotides in length. Their secondary structure includes four short double-helical elements and three loops (D, anti-codon, and T loops). Further hydrogen bonds mediate the characteristic L-shaped molecular structure. tRNAs have two regions of fundamental functional importance: the anti-codon, which is responsible for specific mRNA codon recognition, and the 3' end, to which the tRNAs corresponding amino acid is attached (by aminoacyl-tRNA synthetases). tRNAs cope with the degeneracy of the genetic code in two manners: having more than one tRNA (with a specific anti-codon) for a particular amino acid; and 'wobble' base-pairing, i.e. permitting non-standard base-pairing at the 3rd anti-codon position. Lineage: Bacteria; Bacillati; Chloroflexota; Anaerolineae; Anaerolineales; Anaerolineaceae. The record is from RNAcentral. RNAcentral also lists the same sequence under 2 other names.
GGCGACGUGGCCAAGUGGUAAGGCGCGGGUCUGCAAAACCCUUAUCACCGGUUCAAAUCCGGUCGUCGCCU